Molecule: ribosomal RNA, 254 nt
Filed under: uncultured bacterium
Lineage: Bacteria
Description: partial 16S ribosomal RNA
Rfam family: Bacterial small subunit ribosomal RNA
Source: RNAcentral
CGUAGGGUGCAAGCGUUAAUCGGAAUUACUGGGCGUAAAGCGUGCGCAGGCGGUUAUGUAAGACAGUUGUGAAAUCCCCGGGCUCAACCUGGGGAAUUGCAUCUGUGACUGCAUAGCUAGAGUACGGUAGAGGGGGAUGGAAUUCCGCGUGUAGCAGUGAAAUGCGUAGAUAUGCGGAGGAACACCGAUGGCGAAGGCAAUCCCCUGGACCUGUACUGACGCUCAUGCACGAAAGCGUGGGAGCAAACAGGAUU